GGAGGUUUACCUCCUCUGAAGCAUGCAGUCAGAAAGAAGAAUCUGAGAUCCUUCCAUCCAGAUUAAAAAUAUGUAUUUUAAUCUAGAUAUUACUGUAUUUAAGUCAUUUUGUCACCUUUGACUAUUUGAAUUCGACUUCUAAAACCCCUGUUGCUAGGCCAGCAGGCCACCAAUUGUACUUGCAAACAACCCCAAGUUGUUUUUAAAGUAGCUGUAACAUUUAGAUCUUUCUAACAUUUCCUGAAAUAAUUAAAUAUAAAUGAAUUUAUAUUUAAAUCUUCAGCUAUGUUCUUACUUAGCUGUCAGUUAUGGCGCAGAUUAUUCUAUUUCUCUGUUUACCUCUGAUGGUAAUUUUAACUUCAUGUGUCGCUAUGAAGACCUGCAGAUGUCUUUAAUCAAGCACUAUUUAAUACUGUAAUAUCAAAAUAUUACGUUGCAUUAUUUUAAAGCUUUCAAAAAUAAGAGUAAAAUUUUUUUUGUUUUUUAAAUGUUAUUGCACCAUAUAAUUUGCUGCACAACAGUAUGGCACAGCAUAUCAGUCUGUUGGGAUAGUAAUGCUGCAUAAACAAUGUUUUGAUCUGGGUUUCUUUGGAGAACGCACGAAUGAGGUGACACUGAACACCAUGACUGUCUCGCCAACCUCCACGUGGGAAGGGUUUGGUUUGUCUUUAGUGAAGGACCCAGGACUCUGCUUCAUACUUAGAGGGUGGUUUUUAUUUUAGUUUUGUUUGUGGAUGUACUUUUUAUUUUCAGUGACGCUUCACUCACCGCAGAACUGGAGUCGGGACCUAGCACAAUCCUCAGGGUCACUGUUUCAGGACGUUACUCAUCAAGCUUUAGGUUUUUCCGAGCGAACUGGACGCGAGGCCCGGGCACACCGCGGGGCCCCGGCACUGGGCCCUGGCGGGCCGCGUCGCGCCGCGGGAGCCGCUGGAGCCGUUCCCCUUCCCUCGCAGCCGCCGUGCGCCGCGGCGGGGUUAUUUAUCACGACAAAAAAACUACCAAUAAAGCGAUUACGGAACAAACACUAUUGCUGCCGAAUGCCAUAAACACUGAGUUGUACAAAUUGUGAUUGAGGAAAUGAAAAAGGUUUAUACUUUUUAAAAAAAAAAAAGAAAAAAAUUUGAGAUGGAAUAAAUUAUUCACGAAGCCUUC
This 1155-nucleotide long non-coding RNA is filed under the name Strigops habroptila (Kakapo). Its description in RNAcentral is "lncRNA (ENSSHBG00005009140.1)". Lineage: Eukaryota; Metazoa; Chordata; Aves; Psittaciformes; Psittacidae. The record is from RNAcentral.